This 419-nucleotide ribosomal RNA is filed under the name uncultured bacterium. RNAcentral's name for it is "bacterial SSU rRNA". It matches the Rfam family "Bacterial small subunit ribosomal RNA", at positions 340 to 767 of the family's 1533-position model. The record is from RNAcentral.
UACGGAAGGCAGCAGUGGGGAAUAUUGCGCAAUGGGCGGAAGCCUGACGCAGCGACGCCGCGUGAGGGAUGACGGCCUUCGGGUUGUAAACCGUCUUUCAGCUCUGACGAAGACGAGAGUGACGGUAGGAGCAGAAGAAGCACCGGCCAACUACGUGCCAGCAGCCGCGGUAAUACGUAGGGUGCAAGCGUUGUCCGGAAUUAUUGGGCGUAAAGAGCUCGUAGGCGGUUUUGUCGCGUCGAAUGUGAAAACCCGGGGUCUCAACUCCGGGCCUGCAUUCGAUACGGGCAGACUAGAGUUCGGUAGGGGAGACUGGAAUUCCUGGUGUAGCGGUGAAAUGCGCAGAUAUCAGGAGGAACACCGGUGGCGAAGGCGGGUCUCUGGGCCGAUACUGACGCUGAGGAGCGAAAGCGUGGGGA